This 347-nucleotide long non-coding RNA is filed under the name Nicotiana tabacum (common tobacco). RNAcentral describes it as "long non-coding RNA (NTAB_LNC003827)". Lineage: Eukaryota; Viridiplantae; Streptophyta; Magnoliopsida; Solanales; Solanaceae. The record is from RNAcentral.
UGACUAAUAAUGCUUCUACGUCGGUGGGAUUGAAAGGUAUCAUUUCCAGUUUUUGUUUUUUCUAAAUAUUGCAUGUCAACAUCGUCUUCUUUUUUAUUUUAGUUACACGCAUACCAAAAAAAGAGGAGAAGUCUUCUGUGCGAUGACUCGCCUGGCUCUAGGUGCAAGUUAGCAAGCGUGCGCCGAACUUGGGAAGAGAGCUCGCGUACCUUCACAGAAGGCAUUAAUGGCACGGGCAACAUCCUCGCAAGCUCCGCGAGGUCAGAAAAUAACAUUAGGCUCCCAAAUUGAGACAGUUGAGGCUCAACCUAAUUCGAGAUCCAAUGAAACAGUAACUCAUGAAAUUA